RNAcentral lists this ribosomal RNA (272 nucleotides) under uncultured bacterium. RNAcentral's name for it is "partial 16S ribosomal RNA". It matches the Rfam family "Bacterial small subunit ribosomal RNA", at positions 524 to 794 of the family's 1533-position model. The record is from RNAcentral.
UACGGAGGGGGCAAGCGUUGUUCGGAUUUACUGGGCGUAAAGGGCGCGUAGGCGGCUGAUCAAGUCAGGUGUGAAAGCCCACGGCUUAACCGUGUGAAGUGCAUCUGAAACUGGUCGGCUUGAGUAUCGGAGAGGAAAGUGGAAUUCCCGGUGUAGAGGUGAAAUUCGUAGAUAUCGGGAGGAAUACCGGUGGCGAAGGCGACUUUCUGGACGAAUACUGACGCUGAGGCGCGAAAGUGUGGGUAGCAAACAGGAUUAGAUACCCUGGUAGU